Molecule: long non-coding RNA, 6233 nt
Filed under: Carica papaya (papaya)
Lineage: Eukaryota; Viridiplantae; Streptophyta; Magnoliopsida; Brassicales; Caricaceae
Description: long non-coding RNA (CPAP_LNC009639)
Source: RNAcentral
GAAAUUUUUACCUUUUUUGGCGGUCAGAAAGGGUUCCGGUGCGGCGGCGGGUGGCGGCUGUAAGCCCAGCGGCUAGGUUGUCUUCUCUAGCGAGGGGUUUUGGCGGUUAGGGUUAAGGUUUGGGUGCUGAUGGGGUUAUUUAUACCCAUUAGCUUUUGAUCUGGGCCGUCCAUCGCUUUUGAUCUGUACCGUUCGAUCGUGAUUAAAUAAGGAGUGAAUCUAGGCCGUUCAUCGCAAUCAAAUAUGGGCCGUCCGUGCGCGCAGGAACGGACCUCAACCGUUCGAUCGCGUGCACGUGGAUCGCCCACGUAGAGCCCCGCGUGGCCUCCCGCAUCAGCGCCUUUGCCACUUGGCGUAUCCUGGUUGGUCGGGGUUGUUGACCGGGCGUCUGACGUAGUGUAAUUUUUUUAAAUUGCGUUUUAACCUCCGAUUUUUUAUUUUUCUUUCAAAAAAUCCCUAGAACCCAAAUUUUUACCAUUUUUUUCUAAAUUUUUUUCAAUUCAAUCCUUUAUCAAUUUACUCAAUUUUUCUAUUAAAUUAAAAUAAAACAAGAUAUAAUAAAAUAAAUAAAAUAAUUAAAAAAAUUAUAUUUAUUAAUAAAAUAUAAAAAAAGAAAUUUUAGAUAGGUGUUAUAGGGAUCCUUACUCAAUUUGAUGCCCGGAGCUAACUUGUUUGGCUGUGUCUACGGGCGAUUCCUGGAUUUUUUAAAUUUUUCUUCAGGAAUUAAAGCGUGCUAAUAGUACCUACAAAUGCUCCAAACAAACCCAAAAUCAGUCCCAGGGGCCACUUGGCCAAUUUCGAAGUUCCGGCACGGCAACUUCGCUGUGCUCCAGCGACGGUGCCGCCGCUCGCGGUGGCGGUUCGUCUCAGGUCAGCUAUUUUUGGUCGAUUCUGCAUCGAUUCUUGUGAGAAAAUACGUUAAAGGGCAUUGGUUGACCGAAAAAACACAAAAAAAUAGAAACUCACUAGCGAUGGGACUCUCCAGUGCGGCAGCUCCUCCGCCUCAUAUUGCGGUUGGGUGUUUUGCUCCAGUCAACCUGUAGAGAAGGACACAGUAAUCAUAAGGGUAGAAAAAUUACACAUAAUGGGAAUCAGGAAGGGUUUCAUCGGAAGCGUUUUGUGAAAUUCCCCGCGGCGGCAGCGCUAGGCUUCGCCUAUAUUUUUCGGCCAAUUGGACAAUUCUUUUGCUCCGAUUUGGCCGUGGAUGUAUUUAGAAUUGAAUUCUGAGUAAAAAAAAUUUUUUUAACCUUUUUUGGUAGUCGAAAAGGUCUCCGGUGCGGCGGUGGGUGGCAGCGGUCUCCUUCCUGGCAACUGGGUCUUCUUCUCCGACGAGGGGGUCUGGCGGCUAGGGUUAGGGUUUUGUGCGGAUGAGGGUUAUUUAUAUCCAUCAGCUUUUGAUCUAGGCCAUCUAUCUUAUUUGAUCUGAACCGUCCCAUCGCAAUUAAUAAAGAGUGAAUCUAGAUCGUUCAUCGCGAUNNNNNNNNNNNNNNNNNNNNNNNNNNNNNNGCUUGUUGACCGGGCGUUUGAUGUGGCGAAAUUUCUCUAAAUCGCAUUUUGACAUCUGGUUUCUGAUUUUUCUUUUAAAAAUAUCAUCAGAAUCUAAAUUUUCACCCAUUUUUCUCAAAAUUAUUUUCAAUUUAAUCUUUCAUCAAUUUUAUUUUAGUUUUUACUCUAGAUAAAUAAAGAAAAUUGAAAAAUUAUUUUAUUAUAUUUAUAAUAAAAUCCUAAAUUACAAAAAACUAAUUUAGGGUGUUACAGUAAUAAUUUUUUUUUUUUUAGAAAACGUGAUCAAAAUCAUCAGUCAACAUUUAAAACCAACGAUUAACUGUCAAAAGUUAAAGUUAUCGAUAAAAGGUAUUAUAGUUAAUUAUAAAACUAUACCAUAUGUAUCUAAAUAAUUAAAUAAACCCUAAUGAGGGGUGUGACCAUGCAACUGCCAUAUCUGUUAUAUUUAUAUAUACAGAAUAGAAACUUAACAUGUAUAUAUACGAAUAAAAAAAGUAGAGCAUGCCACACAUAUUGUGUAGCACUGUGGUUCUAUUAUGAAAAAAAUAUAACUUACACAACAAGUAGUAUAAAAGAUAUAUUUUCUUUCAAUUAAGUAUAAUGAAAAUAAUAUAAUUCAAAGAUCAUUUGCACAUUUUUUAUUUGUAUAAUAAACAAAAAAAUGUUAUCAUGCGUCUAUCUAAAAGCAUAUGAUUUUUGAUAAUGUUUAUUAAAUUUGAAGACCUUAGUUCUUUAGUAAACUAUUUUUAUGGUAUAUAUCUCACAUUUGAAUUUUUUUUGGAGUUUAAGUAAUUAAAAUGUAAAGGAAAACAGAUGAUAAAAUGUCUUUAAUUUAAUUCUAUCUUUGAUCUAUGUUUAUUUCAUUUUAUGCAAAAGGAAAGAGCCAAAAAAUAGUGAAGUAUUAGAAAAGAUAAAAUAAAAAUUAUUAAUGUAAUAUGUGUAUAUAUAGGUGUUUUAGUAAAAGUUUUAUUUCCAAGAUUUAUGAGAAAAUAUUUAAUUUUUAUAUAUAAUUACUAUAGUCACAAUUAUAAACAUGGUGCAUAAUAAUGUGUAAACCCAAAAAAUAAAGUCCAAAAAGAUAACAAAAUAAACCGAACUGAAAUUUUAAUUAAAACCAGGCCCACGGAGAGCGUAGAAGGCUCCACAAAAUCUGAGGCCUUUAUCUUCCCGCGAAACGUUUCUACAUUUUUCCCCCGACCUCUGACAUUAUCAAUGGCGUCAAUAUCGGCCAUUGGCUAUCUUCCGCAGUCCCUGACGUUAUCUGCUUCAAGAGCUUCACCUGCAGUACACCAUCGUCUAUUCUGGAAUCUUGUUUUUUCGUUUUUUCUUUUUUCCUUUCGUUUUGUUUAAUCUGAAUGAUGAAAGUGUCCGUUAAAGUUUCUCCCAUUUGUCUCGUGAUGUUUCAGAAGUGGCGCCGACCAGUAGUGGCUCAAUCUUUUCAGCGAUACUAUGGAGUUUUUUAUUCAAGUUCUUGCGGUAAGUAACUAUUCCUUACUGGUUUUUUUUUGUUUUAUGUGAAAGAAAAAAUUGUGACCUUUGAUUCCAAAUCGUGAAAUUCUUUUAAUGAUGGCAUGGUUCGCAUGGAUGCCAUUCUUUCAAUUAUGUAUAACUAUAGCAUUAUUCAGAAUCUCUCUCUCUCUCUCUCUCUCUCUCUCUCUCUCUCGCUCUCUCUAAUUUCCCUUUGCUCUAUCAUUCUGAUGUUGUCUGAUGUAAGAAAUAUUAUUUUUGGUUAUCUUUGUUUGAAAAGUCGCCUCUAUGCUUCCUAGGUGAAAGUAAUCCAAUUGCUUAUAGACAUGAUUUUGUGCGAAGAAAAGUUUUGAUAUCAACAAUUGGGGUGUUAGCUGGAGCCAUGUGGAAUCCUUCGAGCGAUAUGGAGGCCGUAGCAUCUGAAUUUGCUGACAGUAAUUUCCUAUAAUUCCUUACUCCUAGCAUUUUAUCCACUCAUCUUUUGUGUUUAUGUGGCUCUGAUGGGAACUCUUUUCCUACUAUUGGUUUCUGUAAGAGCUGCUGAAAUAGAAUAUGUUGAGUUCAACAGGGGACAAACUAGGUGCUGCUGGACUUUUGUAAAAUCUCUAUGAGAAUAAUGAAUGUUGGUUAGCUGCCUUGUUACUCUGAUUAUAUUGUAGAAUACUUGUUACCUGGAUACUCGAGUGUCUAAUGCCAAUACGUGGGUCCCUUUGUAGAGAUCCGGAACUUAAAAAGAAAUAAAUUCAUAAAUUUAAUGCGGAAGCGAUUAAUAGAGUUAGAGUUUACAUAUUUACACAAUAAUUUUGAAUGCCCAAUAGAAUUACGAGAAUAUUCUUUCUAAAAGACAAACGAAAAUUAAAAAAAUAAAACGAAAAGUGAAUAACUAAACAUUUUAAAAUAGCCUUCAUUAGCACUUGAAGGAAGUAUGGAUAGUGAAAUACUCACAAUCCUCUUAUUGAUCGGGAUAAGGAUUUUGGUUCUCUUUAUCUAAAAUAGUUAAUGAAAGGGUGAAUUAUACUAAUGUAGUAAAAAUAUCACACUAAUUAUAAAUACGAAAAACUGAAAAUUGGUAAAAAUCAUAAAACCACUAAUGUAGCACUUAAUUUAAGUAAAUUCAUUUAAUAUAAAGAAAACCAUUUAUUCCGUAUUUACCGUAAUGAAUUUUCCAAAAAUAAUAUAUGAAAAUCCAUAUGCAUAUCACUUUUCACUUUCACACAUAAGAGAACGAGAAAUAAUAACUUUUUUUUCUUACCUACUUACUGGUACCUCUGGGGGUCUAUAGGGGUUGUCUCCCCUACUCGUGAACCCAAUAUCUAAUUUUAACAAUUAGCUAGCCGUCUCCAUUCUCCAUCUGGUAAUGGGCACCAAACAUUUCAUCGCCUCGAUACCCGUCCGGUAUGAGGGUGAAUCAUAUCUCCUAAAUUUUUUCGGUAAGGGAUUUCUUAAUCCCGUCCGACUGAGAUAGCGUUCAUGGUAGGCUUCCCCAUGUACCGGACCUGUUCGCCAUUUCUCUGGGUAUCCAAUAAGUUUUUCACAUAAAGAUUCUUAUAGCAAACAACCAAUGAACUCAUAUUAAUAUCUCAUAUAAUAUUCACAGAUCAACUAAAUUACAUUAAUGCUUACGGUAUAUAAACAAAAUAACCAGAUAAAUUGAUAAGACUAUUGAACUAUAAAAUUAAGAACAUAUGCUAUACGAAAAUCAAGUAAGUAGGACAGUACAGAAAAAUAGACAGGAAUCAAGACAAUUGUGAACUAAUCGAUUUCGGCUCCAUUAGUAACUUGUAAUUAUUUUUAUGGUUUUCUAAUUUUUCACAAAAACACAAAAUUAUACAACUUUAAGGUUUAAUUUACUGUAACGGAGAAUAGGGUAAGGGAUCCUUACCCCGAUCGGUGUUUCGAGAUGUUGAGCUAUCUAAUACGCCUCCUAACGGAUCAGUUAAACUAUAUUCAUGCUUACGGUAUAUAAACAAAAUAACUAGAUAAGUUGAUAAGACUAUUGAACUAUAAAAUUAAGAACAUGUGCUAUACGAAAAUCAAGUAAGUAGGACAGUACAGAAAAAUAGAUAAGAAUCAAGAUAAUUGUGAACUAAUCGAUUUCGGCUCCAUUAGUAACCUGUAAUUAUUUUUAGGAUUUUCUAAUUUUUCACAAAAACACAAAAUUAUACAACUUUAAGCUUCAAUUUACCGUAACGGAGAAUAGGGUGAGGGAUCCUCACCCGGAUCGGUGUUUUGAGAUGUUGAGCUAUCUAAUACGCCUCCUAACGGGUACCGGGUUCUCUGCAUUUUUCCUGUGUAAUUCAAAAUAAUCGUCACAUACUUAAAAAUAUUUCAAAAAUCCAAAAUCGGUGUCCAAAACUCAUUCCGGUCAAUUUUGGAAUUCCAGCACGGCGGCAACGCUGUGCUCCAGCGUUGGCUUCGCCGCCCACGGCGGCGAUUCGCUUCGGUCUGGUCGAUUUUGGCCGGUUUUGGUUGAUUUUGACUGGUUUUGGCUGUAUCCGUGCAGAAAAACACGUUAGGGGCCUUAGUUGGCCGGAAAAUCACAAAAAAAUCGAACCUACCAGCGGGGAGACUUUCAGGUGCGGCGGCUCCGCCGGUCCUCCUUCGCGACUGAGAUUCUUUCUUCAGGUAUCUUGCAAAGAAAAGGACGGUGAACACAAUAAUCGAAAAAUCACGUGAAACAAGAAUCGAAAAGGGACUCAUCGGAGGGAUUUUGGAGUUUUAGCCGCCGUGGCUCUGCCAGACUUUACCUGCGAUUUUCGGCUCACCCGUCGUUCCUCUUGCUCCAAUUUGGCUACGAGAGUACUCAGAAUCGAAUUCUGAGUGGGUAGGAAAUUUUUACCUUUUUUGACGGUUGGCGGUGGCUCCGGUACGACAGCGGUUGGCAGUCGGCCUCCUUCUCCGGUGUUUGAUUCUUCUUUUCCGGCGGAGGUUGGCGGCUAGGAUUUAGGUUCCUGUGUGAUGCGAAGUAUUUAUAACGAUUCCGCGUUGAUCUGUACCGUCCAUCAUGAGUGAUCUUGUUCGUUCGAUCGCGCCUAAGGAGAAAACAAAUCUUGGUCGUUCAUCGUGAUUAAUCUCGACCGUCCGAUUGCGUCUAAGGGAGAAACAAAUCCAGGCCAUCCAUGCGCGCAGGAUCGAUCCUGGACCAUCCGAUCGCAAGGUACGCGGAUUGCUAGUAUGGCCUCCCGCGUGGCACCGACAUCAGCACGCCUUGUCACGCGGUAUGCUCCGGUUUGUCGAGACUGCUGACUAGGCAGUCCUAC